This 616-nucleotide ribosomal RNA is filed under the name Salmonella enterica. Its description in RNAcentral is "partial 23S ribosomal RNA". It matches the Rfam family "Bacterial large subunit ribosomal RNA", at positions 657 to 1269 of the family's 2925-position model. The record is from RNAcentral. Lineage: Bacteria; Pseudomonadati; Pseudomonadota; Gammaproteobacteria; Enterobacterales; Enterobacteriaceae.
AUAGGGGAGCCGCAGGGAAACCGAGUCUUAAUUGGGCGUUAAGUUGCAGGGUAUAGACCCGAAACCCGGUGAUCUAGCCAUGGGCAGGUUGAAGGUUGGGUAACACUAACUGGAGGACCGAACCGACUAAUGUUGAAAAAUUAGCGGAUGACCUGUGGCUGGGGGUGAAAGGCCAAUCAAACCGGGAGAUAGCUGGUUCUCCCCGAAAGCUAUUUAGGUAGCGCCUCGUGAAUUCAUCUCCGGGGGUAGAGCACUGUUUCGGCUAGGGGGCCAUCCCGGCUUACCAACCCGAUGCAAACUGCGAAUACCGGAGAAUGUUAUCACGGGAGACACACGGCGGGUGCUAACGUCCGUCGUGAAGAGGGAAACAACCCAGACCGCCAGCUAAGGUCCCAAAGUCAUGGUUAAGUGGGAAACGAUGUGGGAAGGCCCAGACAGCCAGGAUGUUGGCUUAGAAGCAGCCAUCAUUUAAAGAAAGCGUAAUAGCUCACUGGUCGAGUCGGCCUGCGCGGAAGAUGUAACGGGGCUAAACCAUGCACCGAAGCUGCGGCAGCGACGCUGAUGCGUUGUUGGGUAGGGGAGCGUUCUGUAAGCCUGUGAAGGUGUGUCGUGAGGC